AUCUCGAAUUGCACUCAAUUCUGAUUGAUCACUUCAGUUGAGUAGAGUACUGUGUUUUUGAAUUCAUGAUGGUGGAGUUAAUAUAAGUCAGUUUAUACAUUCUUGGAAGGUAGUUUAGCAGCCGUAUUAUCCACUAUGGAGAAUGUCUCUACUAAAGUUAAAAACUCAACUUAUUAAAUCGCCGUGGCUAGAGAUACGGUACCGUAUUUCUACUUCAGUUUGUUAAAGCAAGUGUGAAACUCUGAAAAAAGUUAGUACAAGCCAACGUGAUUCAAUAUUUCAAGCUUGAUUUGUUCAACUGCAGAAUUCCUACUAUCUGAUCUUUUAGCAAGAAUUUUAAUUUAGCUUGCUACCAUCGGACAUGAAAAGGCAUCUUUGUGGACAGCUGCUUCAAUAUACAAAGAAUACUGGUUAAUGCAUGCUAACACACAAGGUUCUUGUGAUUAUUGUUUUAUAUACAGUAAUAAGCUCUAGUGGUGCUUUAAUAUAAUAGGCCUACAUUACGGACAAAAAUGCUGAUUUACACAGGACUGUAAUGCGAAGGACUCUAGAAUAAGCUUGAAUUUGAGGUACAGUAUGUGUAGCAGAAGACUUGUACCAGUUUUUAAUUAAAGAAAUUAUGGUUUGUA
Molecule: long non-coding RNA, 629 nt
Organism: Anneissia japonica
Lineage: Eukaryota; Metazoa; Echinodermata; Crinoidea; Comatulida; Comatulidae
Exons: 3
Source: RefSeq, a predicted model, not a curated record